Molecule: ribosomal RNA, 1206 nt
Filed under: Triticum aestivum (bread wheat)
Lineage: Eukaryota; Viridiplantae; Streptophyta; Magnoliopsida; Poales; Poaceae
Description: partial small subunit ribosomal RNA
Source: RNAcentral
AUGGCGUCGCCCAUGCUCUCCACGGCCAUGGCGCCACUCCAGGGGGGCAUGCUGGAGUUCUCCGGGCUGAGGAGCUCGUCGUCGCUGCCGCUCCGGCGGAAUGCCACCUCCGACGACUUCAUGUCCGCGGUUUCCUUCAGGACGUACGCGGUGAGCACCAGCGGCGGGUCGCGCAAGGCGCCGACGGAGGCCAAACUCAAGGUGGCGAUCAACGGGUUCGGGCGCAUCGGGCGCAACUUCCUGCGGUGCUGGCACGGGCGCGGCGACAGCUCGCCGCUGGAGGUGAUCGCCAUCAACGACACCGGAGGCGUGAAGCAGGCGUCCCACCUCCUCAAGUACGACUCCACGCUGGGCAUCUUCGACGCGGACGUCAAGCCCGUGGGCGACAACGCCAUCUCCGUGGACGGCAAGGUGAUCAAGGUGGUGUCCGACCGCAACCCCUCCAACCUGCCGUGGGGCGAGAUGGGCAUCGACCUCGUCAUCGAGGGCACCGGCGUCUUCGUCGACCGCGCCGGCGCGGGCAAGCAUCUCGAGGCCGGCGCCAAGAAGGUGCUCAUCACCGCGCCCGGCAAGGGCGACAUCCCCACCUACGUCUGCGGCGUCAACGCCGACCUCUACACCCACGCCGACACCAUCAUCAGCAACGCCUCCUGCACCACCAACUGCCUCGCCCCCUUCGUCAAGGUGCUCGACCAAAAGUUCGGCAUCAUCAAGGGAACCAUGACCACAACCCACUCCUACACCGGCGACCAGAGGCUGCUGGACGCGAGCCACCGCGACCUGCGCCGUGCCCGUGCCGCCGCGCUCAACAUCGUGCCCACCUCCACCGGCGCGGCCAAGGCCGUGGCGCUGGUGCUGCCCAACCUCAAGGGCAAGCUCAACGGGAUCGCGCUCCGGGUGCCCACCCCCAACGUGUCCGUCGUCGACCUCGUGGUGCAGGUCUCCAAGAAGACCCUCGCCGAGGAGGUGAACCAGGCGUUCCGCGACGCCGCCGCCAACGAGCUCAAGGGCAUCCUCGACGUCUGCGACGAGCCGCUCGUGUCCGUCGACUUCAGGUGCUCCGACGUGUCCUCCACCAUCGACGCGUCGCUCAGCAUGGUCAUGGGAGACGACAUGGUCAAGGUCAUCGCGUGGUACGACAACGAGUGGGGUUACUCCCAGAGGGUCGUCGACCUCGCCGACAUCGUCGCCGACCAAUGGAAGUGA